UGGGGAAUAUUGCACAAUGGGCGCAAGCCUGAUGCAGCCAUGCCGCGUGUAUGAAGAAGGCCUUCGGGUUGUAAAGUACUUUUAGCGGGGAGGAAGGGAGUAAAGUUAAUACCUUUGCUCAUUGACGUUACCCGCAGAAGAAGCACCGGCUAACUCCGUGCCAACAGCCGCGGUAAUACGGAGGGUGCAAGCGUUAAUCGGAAUUACUGGGCGUAAAGCGCACGCAGGCGGUUUGUUAAGUCAGAUGUGAAAUCCCCGGGCUCAACCUGGGAACUGCAUCUGAUACUGGCAAGCUUGAGUCUCGUAGAGGGGGGUAGAAUUCCAGGUGUAGCGGUGAAAUGCGUAGAGAUCUGGAGGAAUACCGGUGGCGAAGGCGGCCCCCUGGACGAAGACUGACGCUCAGGUGCGAAAGCGUGGGGAGCAAACAGG
RNAcentral lists this ribosomal RNA (429 nucleotides) under Chloroflexota bacterium. RNAcentral's name for it is "Chloroflexi bacterium partial 16S ribosomal RNA". It matches the Rfam family "Bacterial small subunit ribosomal RNA", at positions 355 to 776 of the family's 1533-position model. Lineage: Bacteria; Bacillati; Chloroflexota. The record is from RNAcentral.